This is a long non-coding RNA of Molossus molossus (Pallas's mastiff bat), 495 nucleotides long. RefSeq lists it as uncharacterized. Lineage: Eukaryota; Metazoa; Chordata; Mammalia; Chiroptera; Molossidae. The record is from RefSeq and is a predicted model, not a curated record. The transcript has 3 exons.
CCUUCCUACUAUACUGCAUUGGGUACAACUUGCUUCAACUUCAAAACUCUGCUCAAGAAUCACUUCAUGCAUGAAGCUUCCCUUUGAUGAGGCUACUUGUGUCUGAUUUUAUUUAGAGUGUAAAGCUGUGGAAAGCUAUCUUUGCCUUGCUGUCCAACUGAGCAAUCUCGGCACCUUUUAUGGAAGCUGUCACCACAACAUAAUAGAACCCCUGGGGGACAUGUACCCCAUUACACUUCACUGUGGCUGAAGUGUAACCUCACUGCCAGAAUAAAGACACUCCAUUUUACUGUCAGUCCCUUGAAUGUGCUUUUAAAACUUUGAAUCACCAAAUGAAAGAACUGAGAUCUGCAGUGUUUCCAUCCCAUGAGCCUCUGUGUAGCAGGCGCUUUUUCAGAAUGUGGACCUCAUGGCCUCCAACAUCUGUAGCACACUGGGUUCCGUGGAGGGGCGUGAGGACUCCAUCUGCCUGCAGAACCAGAGCCAGGCCCUGGC